This 3196-nucleotide long non-coding RNA is filed under the name Capsicum annuum. RNAcentral's name for it is "long non-coding RNA (CANN_LNC011994)". Lineage: Eukaryota; Viridiplantae; Streptophyta; Magnoliopsida; Solanales; Solanaceae. The record is from RNAcentral.
UGUCUCCUCUUCCACUAGUUAUGUAAUGGAGAAUAAUUUGAACAACACAAAGAAAUGAUCAAUUUAAAUCUUAAUUAGUUAGAUCCACGGCCACCGAAAACGGAUUACAAGGCCUUCUUCACCAUGAAUACAGAAUUUCCACUUGAUUUAUUACCAAAACAUAAUUUCGACGCCGGUGAUAUACAGUCACAAAAAGAAAACCCUUGCCUACAGAACCGACGCCGUUGACUAAUGUGGAAAGGAGUUGUUGGUGCAGACAUUGAGGAAUAUUGUGAAGAAGAUGUCCAUGAUAGAGUAAAUGAAGAGGAAUAAGAGGGAGAUGAAGGUAAUACAGAUUUUUUAGGAUUAUACUUCAUGACUAGAGCAUGAAAAAUCUCGGAUGUUGAAUUAUUUUUAGUGGGUUUUUUGUUAUUAUUAUUGGUUUUGUAAUAAGGAGGAGGAUAAGAGGAGGCAAUAAAGAAGUUUGAGAAAAUGUAUGUUUGGGAGUACCAGGUUGUAACUCCCAAGAGAAAGGAACAGAGCAUGGAACAUCAUUAUAGUAAACUCUGAAUGGAGGAAUAGAAGCAGCAGCUUUAGAAUUUUCCUUUGAAAGAAGCUUUGUCAAGAACUUGUUGCUGUCUUCGUGUUUGAUUCUUAAUGAUUUCUCAAUGCUGCUACUAAUCACCAUCUUGAUUAAUUCCUGACUAUGGAGGAAUUGGAGAACAAAUAAAUAAAGCUUCUAAACUUUAAGGUUAAACUUGACACUUGGGUGAAUAAAAAUAUAUAAAAAAAUUAAGAAAUGAUACUCCGUCAUACUUUGGGUAUAAACAUAUCUUUUCGUCAAUGAAAAGAUACAGUAUCCUUAUUACUAACGGGGGACACGUGUCACGUCGUAUUAUUGAGCCUUUUUUAUUUAUUUUAACCUCAAUUAAUUAAAACAAAUCCUAAUUAAAUCCAUACCCGGACCUAAUUUACCCGACCCGUUCAAUUAGAAAAGCUUCAUCAGAUCUCCAAACACAAUACAGACCGUCUCUCUCAUUCUUGCUUUCAUUUAAUCGGUUCUUCUAUAUCUAUGUAUAUUUCUUCGUCGUUUUCUUAUUCGAAAAAACAAAAAGAAUUUUCUCGUCCAUCGUUAAUCUUUUGCUUUCUGAUUAAUAUUCCUCGUGAAUGAAUGUAAUUUCUGAUUCAUGAGGUCAGUGAAUCAGAAAUGUAACUAAUUUUGAAUCUUUUGGCAAAUAGUGGCUGCCUAUUGUACAGAAAUGUAACUACUACUGCUAUGGAUUUUGAGAGUUCCUGAAUUUUGUAGGUGGUCUUAAGUUUAGAAAAGAGGACAUUGCAGAGCUUCACUUGAAGAAUAGAAUUACUGUAUCUUGAUUUCAGAUAUCCUCGUUCUUAAUGUUAUGUAUUGCACCUUUCCUCUAUGUGAUUCAAUUUGAUUUUAAGGUCAAACAUCACACUUCAACAUUACAUAUUUCAAAAUUGUGGUGGCUGUUUCUACAGCAAAUGAAAAGAUUUUCCGGAAAAAGAAAGAAAACUGAAAGGCAUAGCCUAUAAAUGUCUACUCCCUCUGUCCAAGCUGCUGAUCUUUCCUGCUAGAUCUGAUGAAGCUUCUCUAAUAGAACGGGUCGGGUCGGGUAAAUUAGGUAUGGGAAUGGAUUUAAUUAGGAUUUGUUUUAAUUAAUUGGGGUUAAAAUAAAUUUAAAAAAAAAGGUCCAACGAAUAUGGACGUGACACGUGUCCCGCCGUUAGUGAUAAGGAUAUAUUUAUACUUUUUCAUUAACGGUAAAAAUAUAUUUAUACCCAAAAUAUGAUGAAAAGUAUAUUUGUAUCAUUUAUUAAAGUUUAGAAGUUUAUUUAUACCUUUUCCGUAUAUAAUAUAAUAUAAUGGAAGGACUCGGUGCAUAUGCAUUUAUAUAUACUACUAUUAUAUAUAAGAUACAAUCAAGGACUUUGGUCGUCCUCACAAAAGUUUCCAACUUAAUUUUAAUCUUUUCAAUUAACUACUUUUAUGUCAUGAUUUUAUCUUUUAUAUUAAUUUAAUUAAUUUCCUAAUCUUAUAAUGUUGUGAUAUUUGGUUGAUAUAGAUGAUAUAUUUUCUUUCUUUCUAUAUAGAUCUUUACACUUAGUGCAUGUGUCAUAGUACGAAAAGCUAUUAUUAAGUUCUUUCUUGUAAUUUCAAUUAUUUAAUUAACUAUUUUAUGAAAAUAACAAUUGGGAGUAGGGCAAGGAAAAUUAGGGAGGAGAUUACAAAGCAAAAAAUCAAAUAUUUACCAACAAAGUGGAGUUUAGGUAGUUAAACAGUUGAACCAUUCGAAUCCCCAUAUUGUUUAACUAAUCGAUUAAUCAUUUUUAAAUUCUUUCAUUAUAAUGUUUUGUUUCUCAUAUUUAUAUAUUAUUUAAUCAAGUCAAUUGCAAAAUAUAAAAGUUUAAUAUCCUUUAAUUAUUUUAUUUAUUAAAUUACUUGUAUUUCAUGUUUUAUGAGGUACAAGAUCAAAAAGCUUUAAUUUUUUCCUUUGCUACUCAUAAGACCAAAAGCUUUAAUUUUACUAUCUUUUGUUAAUUUUUGUAAUCAUAAUUAAUUAUUUAAUUAAUUUUUAUAAAUGAAAUUAGCCUUAACAAAAUUAAUAUUUUAUAUGAACUUUUGUUUAACGUAGUUUAAGAGAAAAAAAAAAUAUUUUGACCGUGAAGAACUUUUUUCUUUGCAUGGAUAAUUCAUCACUUUUUUUUCUUCUUUCUUAGUAUUUAUCUUUGAUACAAGCAUGAAGAGUAUAAAAGAGUACAAGGCAUUGUCAAAGGUUCAAGCUUCGGAAUUGACAAGUGUUUGGAGCCUUUUUAAAGCCUUGUCAAGUUGAAGAAGGAGAAGGAAACCAUUACACUCAAAGGCAUCUCAUUUGAAGGACAAGAUGGACUUUGCAUACUAUAAUUUGACACUCAAGAGGCGCCCCAUUUUAGGGCUAUUGUUGUCUUUUAAGACUCCCUUUUUAUACUCCAAAGGAGUACUAUUCAUUAAGGGUAUUUUAGUUUUUGCUUGUAAUAAGUAUAAAUAGACAAAUAGGCUUCUAUUUUUCUUAGUUUUGACAUAAUGAAUUGAGUGACUUUUUAGAUUAUAAUUGUAGUCUUAGCUUGUAGUCUUCUCCUUCUCCUCAAGAGAGAGAAAUCGAAACUUUAAGUAACUAUGCAAGUGAGGUGGUUCUUCACUUAUGUUGACCAUUUGGCG